GACGAACGCUGGCGGCGUGCUUAACACAUGCAAGUCGAACGGAAAGGCCCUGCUUGCAGGGUACUCGAGUGGCGAACGGGUGAGUAACACGUGGGUGAUCUGCCCUGCACUUCGGGAUAAGCCUGGGAAACUGGGUCUAAUACCGGAUAGGAGCCAUUUUUAGUGUGAUGGUUGGAAAGUUUUUUCGGUGUAGGAUGAGCUCGCGGCCUAUCAGCUUGUUGGUGGGGUAAUGGCCUACCAAGGCGGCGACGGGUAGCCGGCCUGAGAGGGUGGACGGCCACAUUGGGACUGAGAUACGGCCCCGACUCCUACGGGAGGCAGCAGUGGGGAAUAUUGCACAAUGGGCGCAAGCCUGAUGCAGCGACGCCGCGUGGGGGAUGACGGCCUUCGGGUUGUAAACUCCUUUCGCUAGGGACGAAGCUUUUUGUGACGGUACCUAGAGAAGAAGCACCGGCUAACUACGUG
RNAcentral lists this ribosomal RNA (465 nucleotides) under uncultured bacterium. Its description in RNAcentral is "partial 16S ribosomal RNA". It matches the Rfam family "Bacterial small subunit ribosomal RNA", at positions 28 to 507 of the family's 1533-position model. The record is from RNAcentral.